This 450-nucleotide ribosomal RNA is filed under the name uncultured bacterium. RNAcentral describes it as "partial 16S ribosomal RNA". It matches the Rfam family "Bacterial small subunit ribosomal RNA", at positions 354 to 796 of the family's 1533-position model. The record is from RNAcentral.
GUGGGGAAUUUUGGACAAUGGGCGCAAGCCUGAUCCAGCCAUGCCGCGUGCAGGAUGAAGGCCUUCGGGUUGUAAACUGCUUUUGUACGGAACGAAACGGCUCUUUCUAAUAAAGAGGGCUAAUGACGGUACCGUAAGAAUAAGCACCGGCUAACUACGUGCCAGCAGCCGCGGUAAUACGUAGGGUGCAAGCGUUAAUCGGAAUUACUGGGCGUAAAGCGUGCGCAAGCGGUUAUAUAAGACAGAUGUGAAAUCCCCGGGCUCAACCUGGGAACUGCAUUUGUGACGGUAUAGCUAGAGUACGGUAGAGGGGGAUGGAAUUCCGCGUGUAGCAGUGAAAUGCGUAGAUAUGCGGAGGAACACCGAUGGCGAAGGCAAUCCCCUGGACCUGUACUGACGCUCAUGCACGAAAGCGUGGGGAGCAAACAGGAUUAGAUACCCUGGUAGUCC